UACGGAGGGUGCGAGCGUUAUCCGGAAUUACUGGGUUUAAAGGGUGCGUAGGCGGCUAUGUAAGUCAGGAGUGAAAGUUUGCGGCUCAACCGUAAAAUUGCUUUUGAUACUGCAUGGCUGGAAUCAGGAUGAGGUCAGCGGAAUGUGGCAUGUAGCGGUGAAAUGCAUAGAUAUGCCAUAGAACACCAAUUGCGAAGGCAGCUGGCUAGACCUGUAUUGACGCUGAGGCACGAAAGCGUGGGGAGCGAACAGG
Molecule: ribosomal RNA, 253 nt
Filed under: uncultured bacterium
Lineage: Bacteria
Also listed under: 1 other name
Description: partial 16S ribosomal RNA
Rfam family: Bacterial small subunit ribosomal RNA
Source: RNAcentral